UUCAUCAGGGAUCUUCUUAGAUUUGACCAAACAUUAAGACAAACCACACUCUGGUUUGCUACACUUGACAUCAGUCCACUCAGAGGACCCAGGACAACAACCAGAGCUGGUCCAUAGGGCAGCUUCAGAUAUUUCGCUCCACAGCAGUCCUUGCAGCAGUCUACACAGCAGAAGGCACAACUGCCCAUGGUCAACUCACUUAUGAAAAAGUGAAAUCCACGUUGCACAGGAAAAAAUGGAAAGAACAAUACAAAUUUUGGACUAAUCAUAUGGAAUGCUACACCACUGACUUAGGAAUGAAACAGAAGGCUGAACUGAAAGAAAAUCUGCCUUGCAACAAGUUUAUGGAUAGUAUGGAGUUCCCCUGCCGUGAAUAUGUGAACACUCUGUUCUUCCGGAUGGCACUUGGAAUGACGUGGAGGCUUGUUUUGAUCUUAGUGAGUCUUCAGUGAGAACAGUAACAAGCAAGCCUAGCUGAGAACUUGGGCUGUUGUGUGCACAUCAUUCUUGUGCUGCUGCUUCAAUGCUGCUCUUUCUUCUCUGUAUUGAUGACUUAUGGAGACAAAGUGAACCAGUCUGGAAGAUCAUUUAUCCACUUUCCAGAACAUUCCUCAAAAUAAUCAAUAAGGGCUGAUACUUCACACAGAUCUAGUGGGAUGCCUAAACCUGUUAUUUUAGGACAUUCAAGUGUUAAAAGUGUUUUAUGUGCCUAUGGUUGACUGCAAGAACAAACCAGCAAUCCAGAGAGGACCCACAGACCCUCUGAAGGAAGUGGACUGCUCCUGCAGGACCUGGGAGAUCCCUCAAAACUCUGGGAGGCAGGUAGCCUGAGGCAGGUUUUCAAGCCCAUCGGAUGUGAAUGCUCUUCAAUUCUUUUUCCUGUAUAAUUGCUCUGGCCAGGACCUCCAGUACCAUACUGAAUAGAAAUGGGUUCCUUUAAGGAGACAGAAGCAACAAAAGGCUAGAGAAAAGAGAUGAGAUUUCCCGAAUGACCGUUUGCAAGGAAAUAAUAUCUAGACCAACUGAAAGAAAUAAGCAACGAGGAGGCCUGCAGCAGAACCACUGAAAAUCUUGAGCUGGAAAGCAAGUGAGUAAGUGAGGCACAGGUCAGGGUGUGCAAGCUUCCAUGUGAUCUCAUUCAGACAUCCUCAUCAGACACCAGACCACCAGACGGGGAGGGUGCAGAUUGCAUUAGCCUCUCCAUUAUCUCAAUUUCUUUCCCCCAAACACGGCAGCCUGCCUUUUGAAGAGUAUUCUUAUUGUCACAGAGAGCCUCUUGUCUUUUUCUUUUUUUUUUUUUCCCAUAAUGAAUAAACACAGAGGUCCAGGCAGUCAGAGGUGGAAGCCAAACACAAGUGUUUUCAAAAAGAUUUCUGAAAUAAACACUGAAGUGCUGUGUUUCAUAACCCCACACAAAACUGACAGUAGCCAGCUGUUGUCUGAGCUAAACACCAUCCUAAAGAGCCAAGAGCCACGAGGCAAAAAGGGAGAGAGAGAAAAUAACUCCUCUCCUACUGAACCAUAGAUGGCAGAUCAGCCAAAAAGGACCCUAGAGGAAGCAAAAGUCAAUGAGGCGAAAGUCAUUGCAAAUGACCCCUGCCGGCUCCCCUUUACCACUCCAGAAAUAAUCCACCCAAAUGGCCUUUGAUUGGUGAAGCAUCUGAAUGCAGUCUCUUCUUCAUACAAUUCUAUGUACUUCCUCUGAAUCUUGCAAUAAUUAUAUCUCAUAACACCAAGUUUCCCCAAGUUUGGGGCUACUUCUUGUGGCUUUUCUCCUUCCAUAUUUUCUGUAUUUCUCGUUCUUCAUCCCUGUAGUUCCCCUGAAAUAUAGAAAGCAAAAAUAAACUUAAGACCUCUUUUGUCUUCUCUUUUCUGUAUUUUAUGGUCAGAAAAAAAUUCUCAAGCCCCAAGGACUUUCUAGACUAACCCCGUAAAUUGUUCUUCUUGGAGCUGGAAAUAUGCUAUUGUUUAAAAUUUGAGUCCUGAUUGGUGGGAGAGGAAACUCUGGGUAAGAAUUUAAUUUGGCCCAAGGUAAAGAAAAGCUAAUUUUAAGGCUCUGUUUGAUCUCAGUUGUAGUAAGAGUGGAGAUGUGUUGUAGCAGCCAUUUUUUUUUUUAACAAAACGCCAGAAGGCUUAUUUAGCAUGGGGUGUAUGAAAGGUGCUUUUCUGAGAAGGCUAAUACGAAAAAGGUUUGAAACCUGAAUUCUCAUGUAUAAUAAAGUAACCUCAUUUUGAUUAAUUUCUGUGAAGAAGGGACAUGGCUUUUCAAAUGUGAAGAAGGGAUAUGACUUCAGAGAAUAGGUCUAUUCCCUAAUGACUGGAUGUUCAUGAAAAGUAUAACUCUUAAGCCAUAGUUCUAUGGUAGCUCUGGCCAAGGAAUGUUUACAGUGUUAUCUGAUACUUAUUUCAUGUUGUUUUCUAGUCUAUGGUCUGGUCUAUCACUCUGUGAUGUCUUUAAAUUUUGUUUCUUGCUUUUUUUUUUUUUGAGAUGGAGUCUCGCUCUGUCACCCAGGCUAGAGUGCAGUGGGCCAAUCUUGGCUCACUGUGACCUCAGCCUCCCAGGUUUGAGUGAUUUUCUUGCCUCAGCCUCCCGAGUAGCUGGGAUUACAGGUGCCUGGCACCAUGCCUGGCUAAUUUUUGUAUUUUUGGUAUAGACGGGGGUUUGCCAUCUUGGCCAGGCUCAUCUUGAACUACUGACCUUUUGAUCCACCUGCUUCAGCCUCCCAAAGUGCUGAGUUUACAGGUGUGAGCCACGGCACCUGGGCUAAAUUUUCAGUGUAAGUGCAUUAUAUGUACUGGGCUUGUAAGAAAGAAGUAGUGCUUUGGUAGAUAAAGAGGAGAAAUAAUAGCCAAGUUUACGUAGCCGAGGGCCAAAAGGAGGAAAACAAACAUAGGAUCAGGAAUAAAGGGAAUAUACCAAGAAAUCAUUAAGUACAGAAAUUCAUAAAGCAAAAUGAUGGAAACAAUGAGCUCCACCCUCACUUUAAAUCCACACGUUCUCCAAGAGUGUAGACUAUAUCACAGUACACAGAAUGGGAUCAAUCCACUUUAUGUAGUUAUCAAGAGUAAACAGGAUCUCUAAGAGCUGAGGAUGUCUAAUUAUAUUUCCUUUGCCCUUUUAUUUGGAAUUCUAUUAGGUUUCAUAUGGUUAAUUUUUUUUCUUGUUUGUUUUUAGGUUGAGUCACUUAUAGACUGAGUUGUGUCUUUGUUUUGCUGAAGGUUGAUCUAAAUCACCUAAGGUGAAUUUCAGUUUGACCGUAAUUCAAUUUUCAGGCAGAUACCUUAGUCCUCAAUUUGCAUUUUUAAGAAGAAAUACUGAGUACGUUUUUUUGGCGAGAAAUCUGCACUUAAAUUUACUUUUAAAUACUUUCUAAAUAAAAAAGGUAAAUUGUCCAUAAUCACAUAGUGACAUUUUAUAAAAUUCCAUUCUCUCUCACUCUUCUAUUUUCUAGGAUAUGCCCGAUGCUCAUAAUACUGAGUACUAUAUAUGUCCUUAGCUAUUACUGUGAAAGACAACAGAAAUAAAAGCUUGCCAUUUCUCAACACCAGUUAGUGUGAAAACACACACAGUACAAUAUGGAAAAAAUAAACUGAUUUGUUGUCCUCUCCAGGUGCCCUUGCUAUGGUGCAACUUUUUUUUUGGAAAAAACCCGCAAUUUUUAUGUGCUAAUUGUUUGCUUAGUUUGUUGUAUGGGUUUAAACUACAUCCUCCUCUCCACAUCCCAACACGUAUUUCUUUUCCUUUUCCAGUUAUGACCAUAGAGUCUGUCAUGAGAUCUCCUAGGAUUGUUUCCAUCUGAAUAUAGAUAAUAAACUGGCAAAAAAAUGUUCUUUUGAUUUCUUAGUAUUAGUUUUGUAUUGGAAUUUUGUUUAUUCUGUAUUUGAAUUUUUACCUGCUUCAGUUUCAUUUGUUUGAUCUUCUUGAGGGAUUUUCCUUUUGGAUUUGAAUCUACUUGUCUUCUUUCUGCCAUUUGCCUGAUUCUAGCUUUAAAUGUUUCAUUUUACAGUUCUGCUUUGGCAGAGUAAUCAGACGGUGGUGACUGGUGAAUGCUCAUCCCUACUUGGUAUAGCUAUCUGGGUAUCCUGCUCCUGGCAUGUCCACUUCAACAGUUUCAAUCUUUCCUUUCUUGUGCUUUUUUUUUUUUUCAGUGAACAUGCCAGAAUGAAGACUCCUCUUUGGUCGACAGAAUUCUAUCUCUUUGUUUACUGCCCACUGGCAUUUCUCAUGGGUGCAUUGCUCAUCUCACUGGCUGUGGCAGCCCUGACUAUCUGGCACUCAACUGUGUUGUUACUGGGCAAUUCUGACUCCUGCACCUGCCACUGGUCUCUUGUCCAGAACAUUGGGGUUGCCCCUGCAGUCCUGGCAGUGAACUCCCAUCUCAUUGUGGGCAGAGUUGCCUAGCAUAGAAGGGUCAAGUUUGACUUUCAUUUCUCUCUUCACAGUACAUUUUGGUGACUCUUGUUUUGGAGCAAGAUGAGAGGCAGAAUUCCCUUGAAUGAAAUUGCAUAUCUUAUUGCCUUGAGUGACUAUAUAUCUGGUUGGAUAAUGCUAGGGUUUUGUAUUGGCAGCAGGGAUAAAUGAAGCAGGUUCAAAGAUGAAUCUUUUUAAACCUCCACUCUUUGCAGGGCAAGUCUGACUCAUAGGUAGAAUAACUCAUUUGUGAACUAUCCUUACCUUUCAAAUACUUUUAUUUAGAGUAAACAUUGUUAGACAUCACUCUGAUAGUCUGGCACUAUGAGAAUGAUUAUGAUUUGAAUUGUGGAUUCCUACUUAAAAAAACAAUUCUGCCCUUUUCUUGAAUGCAGCCAUGAGACUUCUCAAAUACAGAAAGUGAGCUUUUUACAUUAUCCAAGUUCUCUGGAGGCUGGCAGGGCAGAGCAUGGUUCUAUCCAUUUUACACAGACAAAUGUGGUCCAUUCCAAAAUGUAGAUUUGAUCUCUGGAAGGAAGGACGUUGGUGAUAGGAGUCUUUGUGUUGGCUUGUGGACAGAUGAGAAUAUAAAUGCACUAUUUACAUUUGAAGUCCACGGCUCAUUUAUUGCCCCCACCUCCUUGAGUCCUAAGAAGAUGUCUUGAAAACUGAAUUAUACCCUCUGGCAAGUCUCAGCACAGAGAUGCCAUCACACUCGUAUUCAGGAAUAUUCUUUCUCUAUGAUGGUAUUGGCAAUUAAGGGAAGAAUUUGAUCUUCACAAUGAAAAUUAUGCCCUUUUCUGUAAGAUUGUUCCUCUAAAAAGGGUAAACCAUGUAUGUUACUAUUCAAAACAGUACAUUUCUUAGAGCAAAAAGAAGCUAAAAUACUUGGAUAAUAUAAUUGUUACAAUAUAUAUAUAUUUUUUGAGACAGAGGUUUGCUCUUGUUGCCCAGGCUUCUUGGCUCACAGCAAUCUUUGCCUGCAAGGUUCAAGCGAUUCUCCUGCCUCAGCCUCCUGAGUAGUUGAGAUUACAGACAUGUGCCACCAUGCGCAGCUAAUUUUGUAUUUUUAGUAGAGACAGGGUUUCUUCAUGUUGGUCAGGCUGGUCUCAAACUCCUGACCUCAGGUGAUCUGCCUGCCUCUGCCUCCCAAAGUGCUGGGGUUAUAGGCAUGAGCUGCUGCAUCUGGCAAAAUAUUCUUAUAUAUUCAAUAUGUGAGAAUAUAUAUGCAAUAUUCAAUACCCCAAGAAGGAUCGGGCUUUCUACAUUGGUGGAUUGAUUAUAAAAUAUUUCUAUUUAAAUUUGUUUUCAAAAACAAAAUUCAUUUUAAAAACUAGAAAUAACAUAUAUCCAAAUGACUUGACUUUUCUAGCCAAGGCUUCAUUCUGCAACAAUGUCUUUAAAAAUGUUACUCAUUCUUCCUGGAAUUUUCUCACUAACCCCAUUACCAUGUCCCUCUCUCAUCAAGCUAUCUUAAAUACAAUUUCAAUGGUUGACAAACAAAUUUUAUGCAUUUUAUUACCCCCUGGCAUAACCUGGUGCUUGGAAAAUAAAUCAACACUAAAAUAUACUGAAUAAACAAACCUUACAAGCCACAAAUCAGGUUAAAAUCUUCAGUGUGAUUUUAAAGGAUUUAUACUAUGAUUCCUAGAGCCUCCACUGGUAGGAAUCUUCCAUUUACUCUGUAGUUAGGCUGGUAUUCCAAUCUGCCCAGGCAUUCCCCUCUUACCCUGGUACUUGGGCCAUUUAUAUUAGAUUUUUACCUUCUAAACCAAUUAUUGUUAAUGGCUGUGUUACAAUAAGCUAUGACGGAAUUCAAAAUUGUUACAUAUAUGAAGAACCAGGAAAAUAUGACCACAGCAAAAGGGUUAAGUUAUAGAUUAGCAUCCUUCUCCAGAGGAGAUAGGCCAAGCUGUGCAGCAUACGGAGGUACCAGUAAACAUACUGGUGACUAUAAUGUGAAAUUGAAGAUGAGGUAUCUGAGAAACACUUUGCAAUUUCUUUUUUAAAUGGAAAUAAUACAGUUUCAUAGUUUAGAAAAUCAAACACUUCUACAAGGCACAUUAGGAAAGCUGGUAGUUCUCUGUCUGGGUGUGGUGGUUCACGCCUGUAAUCCCAGCACUUUGGCAGGUAGAAGUGCAGAUUGCUUGAAGUCAGGAGUUUGAGACCAGCCUGGACAACAUGGCAAAACCCUCAUCUCUACUAAAAAUAAAAAAAUUAGCUGGGCGUGCUGGUGUGCACCUGUGGUCUCAGCUGUUUGGAUGGCUGACGUGGGAGGACAGCUUGAGCCCAGGAGUUGGAGGUUACAGUGAGUGGAGAUUGUGCCACUGCACUCCAGCCUGGGUGACAGAGUGAGACUGUCUUUAAAAAAAAAAAAAGAAUUAAGUAAACCUGGUAAUCCCUGACAUUCCCUCUGUAAAUCUAAACCCCUUUCCCAAGAAAUAAUCAAUAUCUUCUUUAUUUAAAAGUUUAAUCUCUUUUGUCUUUCAUUUUUUUCUAUAUUGAUGUUUCUGGAAUUUUAAAGUAUAAGCAUAUCCUUAGCUAAACCAUUUUAUAAGGAAGUUGUUGUAAAACAUAGUGAAUAAUAAUCUUGGCUCUUCAGUUGAUAGUUUUAUAUAUACCUAUUAUUAAUUCUUCAAAAAUUAUGUAAGAAUGUAAAAUUCCAUGAAAUAUGGUCAAAUACUUUAAAUAAUAUAACAGUUCCAUCUGUUUCCCCCUUGGAACUCAGUUAAUUCCUACGAAGGCUUGUGAGUCCCUGUGCCUACUGAAUAAAUACUGCACUGGGGCUUCCCUUUUCCAACAUGAUAGAAAUUUUACUCAUCUCUCUUGAGGUUAUUUCUCUCCCUUCUGAAAGUCCAAGUAUUCUUUCCUGGUUUAUCCUUUCAUUCUUUAGUAAUUUUCUGAGAGAUCAUUUUAAAAACAUAAUUAUCUGAAAGUAUCUUUAGUCAACUCUCAUUUUUGAUUGAUACUUGAUUGGAAAUCUAAUUUAGAUACAAUUUUCUGACCUUUGAAGGCAUUGACUUGUAGCUUCUGUUAUUAGAGUGCUAGACAGUAGACUGUCUACAAGUCUUACAUCACAAUGAUUAUUUAUCUCUUAUGUAUGACUUGCUUCAUAAUUUUAGAAACUUUUUGGAAAAUUAAUUUCCCAAUGUACUGAAAUUUUAGGUGGUGUGCUUUGGUGUGGUUCUCAUGUGCAUUACUUUGGGAAAAUCUUCUUGUAUUUUAUUCCUUGAUAAUUUUUUUACAGUUCUCUCUUUUUGGAAAACUGAAUGUUGAACUUGCUGGGUUGAUUCUUUAAUUUCCUUAACUAUUA
Molecule: RNA transcript, 7724 nt
Organism: Callithrix jacchus (white-tufted-ear marmoset)
Lineage: Eukaryota; Metazoa; Chordata; Mammalia; Primates; Cebidae
Source: RefSeq, a predicted model, not a curated record